CAGCCGCCACGGUAAUACGAAGGGUGCAAGCGUUACUCGGAAUUACUGGGCGUAAAGCGUGCGUAGGUGGUGGUUUAAGUCCGUUGUGAAAGCCCUGGGCUCAACCCGGGAAUUGCAGUGGAUACUGGGUCACUAGAGUGUGGUAGAGGAUAGUGGAAUUUCCGGUGUAGCAGAGAAAUGCGUAGAGAUCGGAAGGAACAUCUGUGGCGAAGGCGACUAUCUGGGCCAACACUGACACUGAGGCACGAAAGCGUGGGGAGCAAACAGGAUUAGAGACCCGUGUAGUCCCUGUCUCUUAUAA
RNAcentral lists this ribosomal RNA (301 nucleotides) under uncultured bacterium. Its description in RNAcentral is "partial 16S ribosomal RNA". It matches the Rfam family "Bacterial small subunit ribosomal RNA", at positions 509 to 809 of the family's 1533-position model. The record is from RNAcentral.